This 407-nucleotide ribosomal RNA is filed under the name uncultured bacterium. RNAcentral describes it as "partial 16S ribosomal RNA". It matches the Rfam family "Bacterial small subunit ribosomal RNA", at positions 28 to 526 of the family's 1533-position model. The record is from RNAcentral.
GACGAACGCUGGCGGCGCGCUUAACACAUGCAAGUCGAGCGAAGCGGCGGACGGGUGAGUAACACGUGAGUAACCUGCCUUAGACAUUGGGAUAGCCUCGGGAAACCGGGAUUAAUACCAAAUGGUCUAAGAUGGACUCGCGUCCCAUUAGCUAGUUGGUGAGGUAACGGCCCACCAAGGCGACGAUGGGUAGCCGGCCUGAGAGGGUGAACGGCCACAUUGGAACUGAGAAACGGUCCAAACUCUACGGGAGGCAGCAGUGGGGAAUAUUGCACAAUGGGGGAAACCCUGAUGCAGCAACGCCGCGUGCGGGAUGACGGCCUUCGGGUUGUAAACCGCUUUCAGCCAUGACGCGGUAGUGGCAGAAGAAGCACCGGCUAACUACGUGCCAGCAGCCGCGGUAAUAC